AUCAGAGCCAGUUGCGUUUGUAUGGCAGGAAAAUGGAGGUGCCAAGUGUUGGGGAAAUAAGGAUACAUGUUUGACUUUUCUAUUGCUCUCAAUAUCCUAACUACAAUACCUCGCACAUUAUAUGGGUCAUUAAUACAUUAACAAAUAAAAUAUACUCCAAAAUAAAAAAAUAAAUGUACUGCCACCUUCACUUUCACACUAGUUUACUCAGGAAGGGUCACUUGAAAUGAACUACACAGUUCAAUAAACUUAAGCUUAUGUAUGAAAAUGUAGGUAGUGAAAGUGCUGCUGUCCAACUAUAAGAUACGAAGUAGCAGACACAUCACGAUUAUCAUUAGGUUAUUAAUUUUGUAUCCACGAAGUCUGAUUAAUUCCGCAGAUUGGUCACAAGACCUAAACAACGGACAAACUCUGCUGUUGGAAGUUGUAGGGUUUGGAAGUGGGCCAAACAGGAUACUCUCCGUUCCCAACAAGUGAAUGCCUCUCGGCUUGUAGAAACUACAGCAAACUCACCAACUUGUUUGACUUGAGUGGAGAUGUGAACAAGCUGAGGAGAUGAAAUGUGUAUACAGAAUUUCUAUCGGAAAAACUGAAGGGAAGAAGACACUUGGGAAAGAAUAAUGUUGGUGUAACUGUGUGGCGCCAUUAGAAAUAGAUAUAUUACGCUCCUGUCUACAAAAAGCCGGUGUUGGACACAAUCUUCCGUGUAAAGAACUCAACUCAAUAAAUGAAAUGCAUCUUAAACGGCAUUCGUCUAUUUAACAGCCAGUCUAAAAACUACACAUUAAGAACUAUAAAUUAACUCAUGUUAGGCCUAUAUAUAAAAUAUCUUUCGUCCAAUUUUCACCGGUUCAUCUUCUCUGCUGGUAACUACGUCCGUGGUUAUAAAGACCCAUACUAUUACCCUUACACCUUCUUCUUGGUCUUCAAAUAGACUUCCACUAGGGUUUCUCAUCAAAAUUAUGUACGCUUUCCUUGUAUCUUCACAUUAAAAGCUUGUAAGAAACUUAAAACUCA
Molecule: non-coding RNA, 1017 nt
Organism: Zootermopsis nevadensis
Lineage: Eukaryota; Metazoa; Arthropoda; Insecta; Blattodea; Termopsidae
Source: RefSeq, a predicted model, not a curated record